This 237-nucleotide unclassified non-coding RNA is filed under the name uncultured Phialocephala. RNAcentral describes it as "sequence contains ITS1". Lineage: Eukaryota; Fungi; Ascomycota; Leotiomycetes; Helotiales. The record is from RNAcentral.
CAAGUGAGGCUACCGAACGCUGGAAACAGCGGUUAGGAGCUUACACCCACCCGUGUUUACAUACUAUUGUUGCUUUGGCGGGCCGUGGCCUCCACUGCGGGCUCUGCUCGUGUGUGCCCGCCAGAGGACCAAACUCUGAAUGUUAGUGAUGUCUUGAAAACGAAAGUGAUUAGAGCGCCUGCCCAUUUUAUACAAACAUGAUGUUUUGCAUAUUGGUUACAUAUGUAUGAUAAUAUA